RNAcentral lists this ribosomal RNA (253 nucleotides) under uncultured bacterium. Its description in RNAcentral is "partial 16S ribosomal RNA". It matches the Rfam family "Bacterial small subunit ribosomal RNA", at positions 524 to 776 of the family's 1533-position model. The record is from RNAcentral.
UACAGAGGGUGCAAACGUUGCUCGGAAUUACUGGGCGUAAAGCGCGUGUAGGUGGAUUGGUGUGUCAGAUGUGAAAGCCCUGGGCUCAACCCAGGAACAGCACCUGAAACUACCAGUCUUGAGUGGUGGAGAGGGAAGUGGAAUUCCUGGUGUAGAGGUGAAAUUCGUAGAUAUCAGGAGGAACACCAGUGGCGAAGGCGGCUUCCUGGACACCAACUGACGCUGAGACGCGAAAGCGUGGGGAGCAAACAGG